Alkalibacterium sp. AK22 is the source of this 190-nucleotide non-coding RNA. It matches the Rfam family "6S / SsrS RNA". From Rfam's summary of the family: E. coli 6S RNA was the first non coding RNA to be sequenced, but its function was unknown until recently. The record is from Rfam. Lineage: Bacteria; Bacillati; Bacillota; Bacilli; Lactobacillales; Carnobacteriaceae.
AGAAUUCUGAGGUGUACGCGAUGCCAACAUACUGUGUUGACCGAACAUUUUUACUAAAACAAUGGGAUUCUGAAGGAAAAAAGAAUGGCACGCCUUAUCACUUGGAAGUCAGACUUUUUUCUGGUGAAGCCCCCCUGCCUUUAGCGGGUUCAACCUAAACUGGCAUACUACCGGCACCAUCGGAUUUCUU